UUUCUUGUCUUUGAGCUGUUUUACAACUCUGUAAAUUGUAGAAAGCUGAUAAUAAUGCAAAUGAUUUUGCCCAUAGAAAUGCAAAUUAGUUGUGAUCAGUGAA
Ceratotherium simum simum (southern white rhinoceros) is the source of this 103-nucleotide non-coding RNA. The record is from RefSeq and is a predicted model, not a curated record. NCBI's taxonomy places the organism in Eukaryota, Metazoa, Chordata, Mammalia, Perissodactyla, Rhinocerotidae.